CAGCAGCCACGGUAAUACAGAGGGUGCGAGCGUUAAUCGAAUUUACUGGGCGUAAAGCGUGCGUAGGCGGCUUUUUAAGUCGGAUGUGAAAUCCCUGAGCUUAACUUAGGAAUUGCAUUCGAUACUGGGAAGCUAGAGUAUGGGAGAGGAUGGUAGAAUUCCAGGUGUGGCGGUGAAAUGCGUAGAGAUCUGGAGGAAUACCGAUGGCGAAGGCAGCCAUCUGGCCUAAUACUGACGCUGAGGUACGAAAGCAUGGGGAGCGAACAGGAUUAGAUACUCGCGUAGUCCCUGUCUCUUGUAC
This 301-nucleotide ribosomal RNA is filed under the name uncultured bacterium. Its description in RNAcentral is "partial 16S ribosomal RNA". It matches the Rfam family "Bacterial small subunit ribosomal RNA", at positions 509 to 814 of the family's 1533-position model. The record is from RNAcentral.